UUCCCUGACAUGAGUGUCCUUAUGAAUGUG
RNAcentral lists this non-coding RNA (30 nucleotides) under Mus musculus (house mouse). The record is from RNAcentral. Lineage: Eukaryota; Metazoa; Chordata; Mammalia; Rodentia; Muridae.